This 497-nucleotide ribosomal RNA is filed under the name uncultured bacterium. RNAcentral's name for it is "partial 16S ribosomal RNA". It matches the Rfam family "Bacterial small subunit ribosomal RNA", at positions 28 to 507 of the family's 1533-position model. The record is from RNAcentral.
GACGAACGCUGGCGGCGUGCCUAAUACAUGCAAGUAGAACGCUGAAGCGAGGAGCUUGCUCUUCUUGGAUGAGUUGCGAACGGGUGAGUAACGCGUAGGUAACCUGCCUUGUAGCGGGGGAUAACUAUUGGAAACGAUAGCUAAUACCGCAUAACACUGGAUGACACAUGUCAUUUAUUUGAAAGGGGCAAUUGCUCCACUACAAGAUGGACCUGCGUUGUAUUAGCUAGUAGGUGAGGUAAUGGCUCACCUAGGCGACGAUACAUAGCCGACCUGAGAGGGUGAUCGGCCACACUGGGAAUGAGACACGGCCCAGACUCCUACGGGAGGCAGCAGUAGGGGAUCUUCGGCAAUGGGGGGAACGCUGACCGAGCAACGCCGGGUGAGUGAAGAAGGGUUUCGGAUCGUAAAGCUCUGUUGUAAGUGAAGAAAGGGUGUGAGGGUGGAAAGUUCACACUGUGACGGUAGCUUACCAGAAAGGGACGGCUAACUACGUG